RNAcentral lists this ribosomal RNA (207 nucleotides) under uncultured bacterium. RNAcentral's name for it is "partial 16S ribosomal RNA". It matches the Rfam family "Bacterial small subunit ribosomal RNA", at positions 30 to 244 of the family's 1533-position model. The record is from RNAcentral.
CCUGAACGCUGGCGGCGUGGCUAAGACAUGCAAGUCGCACGGGGCCCGCAAGGGUCCAGUGGCGGACGGGUGAGUAAUGAAUCGCUAAUGUACCCCGAUGUCUGGGAUAGCUGCCCGAAAGGGCAGGUAAUACCAGAUGAGACCACAGGCAGGCAUCUGCCGGUGCUCAAAGGGUCACCGCAUUGGGAGCAGGCGAUUUCGUAUCAG